This 500-nucleotide ribosomal RNA is filed under the name uncultured bacterium. Its description in RNAcentral is "partial 16S ribosomal RNA". It matches the Rfam family "Bacterial small subunit ribosomal RNA", at positions 30 to 523 of the family's 1533-position model. The record is from RNAcentral.
AUUGAACGCUGGCGGAAUGCUUUACACAUGCAAGUCGAACGGCAGCACGGACUUCGGUCUGGUGGCGAGCGGCGAACGGGUGAGUAAUGUAUCGGAACGUGCCCAGUCGUGGGGGAUAACGUAGUGAAAAUUACGCUAAUACCGCAUACGAUCUAUGGAUGAAAGCGGGGGAGCGCAAGACCUCGCGCGAUUGGAGCGGCCGAUAUCCGUGUAGGUAGUUGGUGGGGUAAAGGCCCAGCAAGCCAUCGACCUGUAGAUGGUCUGAGAGGACGACCAGCCACACUGGAACUGAGACACGGUCCAGACUCCUACGGGAGGCAGCAGUGGGGAAUUUUGGACAAUGGGCGAAAGCCUGAUCCAGCCAUUCCGCGUGCAGGAUGAAGGCCCUCGGGUUGUAAACUGCUUUUGUACAGAACGAAAAGGUUUCUACUAAUACUAGGAGCUCAUGAGGGUACUGUAAGAAUAAGCACCGGCUAACUACGUGCCAGCAGCCGCCGUAA